GACGAACGCUGGCGGCGUGCUUAACACAUGCAAGUCGAACGGUGACGAGGAGCUUGCUCCUCCGAUCAGUGGCGAACGGGUGAGUAACACGUGAGUAACCUGCCCCGGACUCUGGGAUAACAGUUGGAAACAGCUGCUAAUACCGGAUACGAGACGGAGAGGCAUCUCUACCGUCUGGAAAGUUCUUCGGUCCGGGAUGGACUCGCGGCCUAUCAGCUAGUUGGUGAGGUAACGGCUCACCAAGGCGACGACGGGUAGCCGGCCUGAGAGGGCGACCGGCCACACUGGGACUGAGACACGGCCCAGACUCCUACGGGAGGCAGCAGUGGGGAAUAUUGCACAAUGGGCGAAAGCCUGAUGCAGCGACGCCGCGUGAGGGAUGACGG
This 386-nucleotide ribosomal RNA is filed under the name uncultured bacterium. RNAcentral's name for it is "bacterial SSU rRNA". It matches the Rfam family "Bacterial small subunit ribosomal RNA", at positions 28 to 414 of the family's 1533-position model. The record is from RNAcentral.